RNAcentral lists this ribosomal RNA (440 nucleotides) under Escherichia coli. Its description in RNAcentral is "bacterial SSU rRNA". It matches the Rfam family "Bacterial small subunit ribosomal RNA", at positions 338 to 795 of the family's 1533-position model. The record is from RNAcentral. Lineage: Bacteria; Pseudomonadati; Pseudomonadota; Gammaproteobacteria; Enterobacterales; Enterobacteriaceae.
CCUACGGGGGGCUGCAGUAGGGAAUCUUCGGCAAUGGGCGAAAGCCUGAUCCAGCAAUGCCGCGUGAGUGAUGAAGGCCUUAGGGUUGUAAAGCUCUUUUACCCGGGAUGAUAAUGACAGUACCGGGAGAAUAAGCUCCGGCUAACUCCGUGCCAGCAGCCGCGGUAAUACGGAGGGAGCUAGCGUUGUUCGGAAUUACUGGGCGUAAAGCGCACGUAGGCGGCUUUGUAAGUUAGAGGUGAAAGCCUGGAGCUCAACUCCAGAAUUGCCUUUAAGACUGCAUCGCUUGAAUCCAGGAGAGGUGAGUGGAAUUCCGAGUGUAGAGGUGAAAUUCGUAGAUAUUCGGAAGAACACCAGUGGCGAAGGCGGCUCACUGGACUGGUAUUGACGCUGAGGUGCGAAAGCGUGGGGAGCAAACAGGAUUAGAUACCCCAGUAGUC